Molecule: long non-coding RNA, 4309 nt
Organism: Nicotiana attenuata
Lineage: Eukaryota; Viridiplantae; Streptophyta; Magnoliopsida; Solanales; Solanaceae
Exons: 2
Source: RefSeq, a predicted model, not a curated record
ACAAACGAAACGUCGUACAUCGUACAGCUUAUCUAAGUCGGUUAUGUUUUCCUCCUAGGAUUCUGUCGCCGCCACGCAAAAAGUUCUUAUCUUAGUCGGUUAUCAUCUUAUAUAUAGGCUUUAUAUUCCCUCAACUACAACACCAACUAUUGAGAUUCUACAAUCUCAGCUGUCGCGUUGGCUGCUCUGAUAAGAUGGUCUCUCCUGCCUUCUUUGCCUCUAGAAAGUUUUUGGCUCAAAAAGCUGGAAUGCAGACAAAUUAAAAUUCUUUGCGUGGUUUGCUGGAUUUUCCAUAUUGUAAGAUGUCAAUCAAGGUUAUGUAUUCAGAAGCGUGGAGAACAUCCGUAGGAAUUUGCUCAUGUUGAAUGAAGAUGUAAUAGGUAUAAUGGGGACAUAAAAGGCCUAAUUUCAGGGGGGUCAAGUCCCUUUUAAAUUACUCUCUGUUACAACUCUGGCCUUUGCCAUGUCGGGUGCGCUCUCAUGGCAGGUCGCUCACUUAAUAAAAAAUUGUUUUUGCGGGUUUUGGGGGGUGGGAGAUAGCACGGGAACUUUUUGGCCCGGGAUCUCUACCCUCUUUUGUGUGUGUGUGUGUGUGUUUUUUUUCUCGCUUCUCUAAUUCUUCUCUGCUCCUUACGCUCUACGUAGAUGGCAUAAAUUGAUCGUCUGACCUAAGUGCAAAUUCUCAACGAGCUAUAUAUUCUUAGUUCGCAGCCCAUCUCAGGUACACAACACGUUUCUGGUUGAGCUUAUAUUAUUCCAAGUAUUGUCGAUUGAAGCAACCCAAACACAAGACGUUUCUACUUAACUUGCAAUUGAUAUAUUAUAAUGCAUACCUGUCAGAAAACAAGAGCUAGUAAUAUUUUUAUGCUAAGCAGAAUUAUUUUAAAUCCAUUGUCAAUGGAAGCAAAACCUAAUUUGUGUUUAAUAUAUGUUGCAAGUUUGUGCAGUUAGCGCUGUAGUGGAUGACGAAUGCAAUCUCCCAUCUCCCGAAGUGUAGAACAUGAAUUUCAUCACAGAUGUAACCCCAAAGUUAAUAAACCAAUUAUCCUGUGAAAUUGCAUGCUACGGUAUCCAUGUGAACUUAUCUAUCUAAUCAGCUAAGCAACUUCUAAGUCGGUUGUUUGUACAUUGGCAGCUGGGCCUCAGGUAUGCGUUGUAGGCUUGUAAUUUUGGUUUUGCCCUAAUUCACAACUAAUAAUGCAUGUAAGACACAGAAAACUAAAUAAUGUAUAGUGCUUUCAACUUGAUGCUUCUAUAAUUUGAUAAAGCUAUUAUGGUUUUACCUACAUACAGACGUGAUCUACAGACUUGAAUUUUAAUUGCAGCAGAAUGAAGAGCCCAUUAUCUGCUAGUAAUAGAGUAUUCAAACUGGUAUUCAUUUUUCCUUUCAAUGUUGUCAGUUAUCUGAUACUUGUGCAUUAGAGGUGUCAUUGCUCUUGUUUAUUAUUCACCAUAUAUUAUUAUGAGCUCUAGUGAAUUUGGGACGAAUCUUCGGACCAAAAGAAAAAGAAUUGCGAUGAAUCUCGGAGAAUUUCAAAUAUUAGAUGGAGGUCUGCAAUGGUUAGAACUUUCUGCAACCGAAAACUAGAGAGUUCAUCUGCAUCACUUUGUAAAUCUGGUAUUGGUGGCCAUCAUUCUGAUUUCUCGUUGUCGGUUGAAAUUUCUUUGCUGUAGUAAGAUUUUGUCUGUUAAACUUGAAAUGCAAUUGGUAUCACUUUCAUGGAGAGCUGGCAUUGGUGGCUGUUGUUCCAAUUAUCUUUUGCCAAUACAGAGGAUAUGCCAGAAUUACUUUAGCAGUAGUAUGAUAUUUGAAGGUUAGUGAUAGCAAUUAAGCUUUCAGUUCAAAUAAAUGAGGUGAAAUUGCUGUUGUAUAGAACAACUUAAUUAUAGUGAUGCUUCUGCAUAUCUAAAGAUUUUGGGAAUCUAUGUUAUAAUCAAUUUAAUUUGCUGUUUGAGCUAUUCCAUUCUGGUACUGUAGAUGUGCUUUAGCACCAGGCGCUCGGGCAAGUUCUUCUAUUCCAACUUUUUAGUACUAAUUUUCAUCUACGUUUGUUUUUCUUGAUAUUUUCAUUACGUACGCAUAUAUUUUCCUUUUAGUAUUUAUUAAAAUUUAAAUAUGCCAAAUAUAAAGUAUGAAUUUGGUUAUUCAGAACUUAAGGAAAAAAAGUUAAAAUCUUUCAUACAAUCCCAAAAAGAAGAAAUGAUAGUACUCUAAUUGAUAUACUCAAUCUAAUAGAGGCUUGAUUCUUUUUCAAAUGUUUAUAUUGCAUAUAGAAUAAAGGUAACAGUUCAUGUAACAGUUGUCUCAGGUCAUCCUCGAUCACAAACUAAAAAUUUGAAAGAAUUUUUUAAAUUAAAAUUGAUAAAAUUUUACUUAAUAUCAACCAUGGCGCAAGAGAUUAAAUGAAUUAACUAUAUUUUCAAUUGAAAAAUAACAAUUAGAAGAAUUAUUUCAUAAUUUUGCAUCUGAAAAAGCUAGAAAAUUAUAUUUCAAAUAAAUAAUAUAUAUGAAAGCUUUUAUUUUUUAUUAUAAAAAAUAAUUAAAGGUAAGUUUGGCUUUAGGGCCCAAUAGUAUUGAGCCAUCCCCGAACUCGGUUUGCUUUUUACGUGUUUCAUUGUAGGCUUUUGGUUUGUAGAUAGGCAGAGGUUUCUGUUACUGUGCUUUGGUAGUAGUAGAUUGUUGGUAAAUCCAUUGUUAUGUACUUAUGUCGAACAGUGAGCAAGUACAAGAUGGAAAGGUCUCUUUUCCUGUGUAGCGAGGGUGCAGAUGUCUCGUACACAACAGCAAGGGCGAAUGUUGUUCAAGAUUUUUGUUUUUGUUGCUGUGCAAGCUUUUCUUCGGCUGGUAGCUGGGUAAAAACAAGCUAUUCAUGGGGUUGAGAUUUGGUACAUGAUAAUGUUUGGCUGCAAAAGAUACUUGUACUUCUUCAGGUAUUGCUUUUCGGGUGUGAUUCUGUUCCUUUAGUUUCUUUUUUGUGGUCAAUUUGUCUCAUCCAGUUUAUGGAGGUAUUGCAUUCUAUAAUAUGAAUUUUUCAAGUGAGUGUAUGUUUGAUCAGAGAAUCAGGGCAAAACCACAAAAAAAGAGUCAAGAGGCUAACUUGAAAAGUCAGUCAGAAAGAAAACAGAAAGAGAGGAAUAGCUAGAUGUUCUGAGAAAAUCAAUAUGACUCGUGGAAAGUUCUGUGUAGACCCAUAUGAGGUAUUCAUGUUUACAUGGUGAUAAUCAAUUAAUUGAGAAAUAAAAUAUGAGGGGCGCCCCAGGUGAACUGGCAAGCAAUGUGUUUAUUUCACACAUGAAAAAUAAGAUUUUUGGCAAUGUGCUAGGCAAUCUGGGUGUCACAAUGUAUUGGUACAGCAGCAGAAACAGAGAGCCCAUCAAACAGGUUUAAGUAAAGCUGCUUAGUCAACCUCAACAUAAGAUAAUAAAACAGUGGGAUCAAUCUCUUGGACUUCAAACAGAUAAAAGGCCGAGGAAUUGUAAUGAAAUAACUAGUAAUAAGACUCUAGAAAUAGGAGCAGUCUAAACUGAGUUAAGGCUAGCCUCGAAAAUAGAAACUGUACUGUUGAGUAUUGAAUUAUACUUAACAAGAUUGCUAGGACAAGUUCAUUCAGCAGAUGUCACAGAAAACAUGACAGCACUUAAACGGCCCUUGCAAGGCUGAGGAAGUGAUUGAGAUGUCGAAUUGUGAAGGAAAUAUCAGGCUUGGUGUAGUGCGGAAAAUUCAACUUUGCAACCGGAUAAUCUGACUGACGAAUCCAAAGAAACAACAACUGGGGGGUUAAAAAGAUUCUGGUGUGUUUGUGUUGAUUGACAACAUAACUCUGUGGGAGCUGAGGGAUUUCAUCUAAGGCAAAGGAAAUAAAGAACAAGUCAAUACACCUGCUUGAUCCUGUACUAUUCAUUCAGGAGAGAUCUCAGGGCGAGCAUUUAAGCAUCAUGAUUACUAGCCAAAAUAUGUGAGGGAAAAAACAUUUGCACUCGGGGAUGAAUGAUGCACCUAUUUUUGAACCUCUUUAUCCGAGGACUUCAAAGGCAAAAUUAAAGGAUAUACUCUACACGAGCUUGAAGGUAAGCCGAUAGAGGACAGGGUAUUCAUAUGUUAUUCCUAUUUUUUACAUUUUUAGGAAGGCUGUACUUGCCAAAUUGUAAAUCGAAAUCGCGUAUCUUUGUGUAUUGCUCUGUGGAGUAUGUUUUUCUAGAGUAUCAAAUUUUGUCCAGAAAUAUGAUCUUCUGGGGAAGUUGGUGUCAUAGAACUCGAGUUGUAAUGUGACGCAAUUUCAUUUUAUAGUGAGUUUGCAAAACGCUUAAA